This is a long non-coding RNA of Nomascus leucogenys (northern white-cheeked gibbon), 116 nucleotides long. RefSeq lists it as uncharacterized. Lineage: Eukaryota; Metazoa; Chordata; Mammalia; Primates; Hylobatidae. The record is from RefSeq and is a predicted model, not a curated record. The transcript has 3 exons.
UCUCUCUCAUUUAUGGUUUGAUUUUUGGCAAGGGUGCCAAGAUCAUUCAGUGUGGGAAGGAUAGUCUUUUCAACAAAUGGUGUGGGAAAAACUGGGUGUCCACAUGCAAAAGAAUG